ACAGUCGGUGAUGGCAGACACAGAGAAUAAAGAGGUGGCCAGAAUCACAUUUGUCUUUGAGACCCUCUGUUCUAUGAACUGUGAGCUCUACUUCAUGGUGGUACGUUUUCCUUUCUUUGCCCGCUAGAGGGCCUCCAGGGGAGGGUUAGCCCCAUCUGCCCCAUUGGUGUGUCCACGUGACUGACAGCCCCCUUGUAGUGAUUCCACAGAGGAAAGGCCCAGACUGACCAGCAGGGACUUCACAGUUUAACAAGGGUCUCACCAACCGUGAUGGCACCUGGGAUGGCAGCCACAUGGGCACCCACUUCCCCUCUGGCCAUCGCACCCGCUUCACUUGUCUGUCCUGGGUUUAGGGUGUGAAUUCUAGGACCAACACUCCCGUGGAGACGUGGAAAGGUUCCAAAGGCAAACAGUCCUAUACCUACAUCAUUGAGGAGAACACUACCACGAGCUUCACCUGGGCCUUCCAGAGGACCACUUUUCAUGAGGCAAGCAGGAAGUACACCAAUGACGUUGCCAAGAUCUACUCCAUCAAUGUCACC
RNAcentral lists this small RNA (542 nucleotides) under Pongo abelii (Sumatran orangutan). RNAcentral's name for it is "retained intron". The record is from RNAcentral. Lineage: Eukaryota; Metazoa; Chordata; Mammalia; Primates; Hominidae.